This 210-nucleotide ribosomal RNA is filed under the name uncultured bacterium. RNAcentral describes it as "partial 16S ribosomal RNA". It matches the Rfam family "Bacterial small subunit ribosomal RNA", at positions 1291 to 1500 of the family's 1533-position model. The record is from RNAcentral.
GUUCGGAUUGUAGGCUGAAACUCGCCUACAUGAAGCUGGAGUUACUAGUAAUCGCAGAUCAGAAUGCUGCGGUGAAUGCGUUCCCGGGUCUUGUACACACCGCCGUCACACCACGGAAGUUGGGGCGCCCGAAGCCACUUAGCUAACCCUUUUGGGAAGCGAGUGUCGAAGGUGAAAUCAAUAACUGGGGUGAAGUCGUAACAAGGUAAC